GUAGAGCUAAGACUGAGAGCUCGUGUCUUAAGGUGGGUGGCGGCAGUUACAUUGUUGAUGUCCAUGGGCUCCGGUAACUAUUUAACUCA
Bombyx mori (domestic silkworm) is the source of this 89-nucleotide non-coding RNA. Lineage: Eukaryota; Metazoa; Arthropoda; Insecta; Lepidoptera; Bombycidae. The record is from RefSeq and is marked provisional.